UACGAAGGGGGCUAGCGUUGCUCGGAAUCACUGGGCGUAAAGGGUGCGUAGGCGGGUUUUUAAGUCAGGGGUGAAAUCCUGGAGCUCAACUCCAGGACUGCCUUUGAUACUGAGGAUCUUGAGUUCGGGAGAGGUGAGUGGAACUGCGAGUGUAGAGGUGAAAUUCGUAGAUAUUCGCAAGAACACCAGUGGCGAAGGCGGCUCACUGGCCCGAUACUGACGCUGAGGCACGAAAGCGUGGGGAGCAAACAGG
This 253-nucleotide ribosomal RNA is filed under the name uncultured bacterium. RNAcentral describes it as "partial 16S ribosomal RNA". It matches the Rfam family "Bacterial small subunit ribosomal RNA", at positions 524 to 776 of the family's 1533-position model. The record is from RNAcentral.